CUGGCCUGAAGCCUCUGGGCACUCCGGGCUUUUGCUGCUGCGCCCGCCGCCGCCGUCGCCACCACCAUCGCCACCGCUACCGCCACCACCGCGGGGCUCCAGGAGGAGGCGCAGCCGAAGAGGGCGGAGGAGAAGCAGGAGGAGGAGGAGGAGGAGGAGGAGGAGGGGAAAAGAGGU
This 177-nucleotide long non-coding RNA is filed under the name Marmota monax (woodchuck). Lineage: Eukaryota; Metazoa; Chordata; Mammalia; Rodentia; Sciuridae. The record is from RNAcentral.